ACGUCCUAACAGUUGCAGCACUUCGGAUACUGUCUUUCAAUGUCAAGGAAGUUGAUGGUCUGUCAUCUUUGUUUGUGCGAGAGGAGGACCCGAGCGUUCCUGCAACCCCUUGCAUCGUAUUUUCUGGAGCAGACGUUGUAGAGGCUGACCUUCUCCACAUCAAGGUGGACCGCGAGAAGUUUGCGGUGAAAAAUGGGGAGGAGGGGCUGGCGGCUGUCUUAUCUGCUGACUGGCUCUUCAAUAUCCAGUUCGACCGCAAGCUGUUCAACACUCUUGUCGUGUUGGAGCGCCUUUUCCUCGGGCUCACAUUGAGUGCCCCUAGAGUAGUGGCUACAAAGUUCUUGAACAAAGUCACCAAAAGUGAGCCAUGUUGAAUGUGCUGUUGGCCGUCUUGGCCGUAACAAUAUUUAAGUGGUAACAAACUUUUGACAACAAAGUGGUAACUUUUGAUAACAAAAAAAAUUUAAGUCUAGCAAACUUCCGUUGUGGAGGCAAAUCAAGUAACCAAUGCAUUUCGGAAACAGAGUCAAUGCGAUAAUACCGGGAAAGAAUGAACCUUGCAGAUUUUUUCUAUAUCUUAAUGCGAUUUAUUAAUCCUGAUUGAAACGGAUCUCAAAUGACACUGGCAUACUCUAACGUCGGUCUAAUGUAAGUUAAAUAUGCAAGUACUUUGAAGGGUGUGGUUGCCAGCUUUAAUUUUCGGCGAAGGAAGCAUAACUUUUUUUUUUUUUGCAGCUCCACAAGUUCUGUUUACGUGUGAUUUCCAACUUAAGUCUUUAGAAAUUGUUAAGCUUGGGUAUUUUAUCGUUUCGGCUUCAGGUAUAAUCGUUGAGUUCAUCCCAUAAUUACGCUCAAUAACAUGCUUCCUUUUGUUUGUAACUCUGAGCAGGACUGAUUUAGAUUCGUUAAUUUUCAUUUUACUUCUUAUGGCCCAGACUUCUACAGCUUUAAGGGCUUGACUAAGUGACGCCUGGUCGUUUUGGUUAUUGAUUUCACGAUAUAAUAAACAGUCGCCUGCAAAUAACAGGAUGGUUAUGUCGUUAUUUAUGUGAUGAGCAAUAUCAUUUAUUUAAACUAGAAAAAGAAGUGGUCCUAGAACGGAUCCCUGUGGAACGCCUGAGGUUAUCUUUAAUUGGUUAGAUUUGUUACCAUUUAUAUCAGCGUAUUGUGUCCGAUCUGUAAGAUAUGAGCGGAUCGACAUAACAUAAUUUAUAUUCAUUUCCAUCAGUUUUUUUUAAUUAAUUCGUUAUGUACGACCAGAUCGAAAGCCUUCGAGCAAUCUAAAAAUAUAGCGUCGACCUGCUUUCUAUUGUUCAGUUGUAUUGUUCUAUUUCUAUUGUUCAUAUGUAUUCGUGUUGCAUUAAUUAUUGAUGUUCUUAAUAAAUUUACUUUGAAACCAAAA
Long non-coding RNA from Dermacentor andersoni, 1402 nucleotides. RefSeq lists it as uncharacterized. NCBI's taxonomy places the organism in Eukaryota, Metazoa, Arthropoda, Arachnida, Ixodida, Ixodidae. The record is from RefSeq and is a predicted model, not a curated record.